AUUGAACGCUGGCGGAAUGCCUUACACAUGCAAGUCGAACGGCAGCAUAGGUGCUUGCACCUGAUGGCGAGUGGCGAACGGGUGAGUAAUACAUCGGAACGUGCCCAGUCGUGGGGGAUAACGUAGCGAAAGUUACACUAAUACCGCAUACGAUCUAAGGAUGAAAGCGGGGGACCGUAAGGCCUCGCGCGAUUGGAGCGGCCGAUGUCAGAUUAGGUAGUUGGUGAGGUAAAGGCUAACCAAGCCGACGAUCUGUAGCUGGUCUGAGAGGACGACCAGCCACACUGGGACUGAGACACGGCCCAGACUCCUACGGGAGGCAGCAGUGGGGAAUUUUGGACAAUGGACGCAAGUCUGAUCCAGCCAUUCCGCGUGCAGGACGAAGGCCUUCGGGUUGUAAACUGCUUUUGUACGGAACGAAAAAGCUCUUACUAAUACUAGGAGUCCAUGACGGUACCGUAAGAAUAAGCACCGGCUAACUACGUGCCAGCAGCCGCAGUAA
This 502-nucleotide ribosomal RNA is filed under the name uncultured bacterium. RNAcentral's name for it is "partial 16S ribosomal RNA". It matches the Rfam family "Bacterial small subunit ribosomal RNA", at positions 30 to 523 of the family's 1533-position model. The record is from RNAcentral.